Octopus sinensis (East Asian common octopus) is the source of this 152-nucleotide long non-coding RNA. RefSeq lists it as uncharacterized. The transcript has 3 exons. NCBI's taxonomy places the organism in Eukaryota, Metazoa, Mollusca, Cephalopoda, Octopoda, Octopodidae. The record is from RefSeq and is a predicted model, not a curated record.
CAAGUUGUGCCAAUACCAACCAAUCAGAGUAGUGGACACAACAGGGUCCAAAAGGGCCAUCGAAGGCUAGCUAUUAUCUACUACGUCCGUAUUUAUGUAUAUAUAACAGAGAGAGAGAGGAAUUUCCUUCAAGCUGUGUGCUCCACUGUUCU